AGUCUUAGUUCGGAUUGUAGGCUGCAACUCGCCUACAUGAAGUCGGAAUUGCUAGUAAUCGCGGAUCAGCAUGCCGCGGUGAAUGCGUUCCCGGGUCUUGUACACACCGCCCGUCACACCAUGGAAGUUGGGGGCGCCCGAAGUUGCCUAAGAAAUAAGGUACCUAAGGCGAAACCAAUGACUGGGGUGAAGUCGUAACAAGGUACC
RNAcentral lists this ribosomal RNA (207 nucleotides) under uncultured bacterium. RNAcentral's name for it is "partial 16S ribosomal RNA". It matches the Rfam family "Bacterial small subunit ribosomal RNA", at positions 1284 to 1500 of the family's 1533-position model. The record is from RNAcentral.